Molecule: ribosomal RNA, 750 nt
Filed under: Triticum aestivum (bread wheat)
Lineage: Eukaryota; Viridiplantae; Streptophyta; Magnoliopsida; Poales; Poaceae
Description: partial small subunit ribosomal RNA
Source: RNAcentral
AUGGCGGCCGAGGAGAACCAUCCCGUUCCAUGGCGCGGUCCCCUGCCAUACCACGAGCCCUACGACGAGCUGAUCAUGGAGCCGGAGCUGUGGCGGCAGCCAGAAGAGCCAUUCCCCAGGCAGUUGGAAGACGGCGGCCAGCCUUCUGACAAGCCCAUAGAGUUGCUGGAGUUGUUCCCCGUCCGGCCGCUUCACGACGACGGCCAGCCGCGCGACAACCGCAAAGAGUUGUUGGACCUGUUCCCCGUCCGGCCGCUUCACGACGACGAUGCUGCUGCUGCUGCUGCGGGUCGUGCCGCUCCUCCACCGACGGCGUGGUGGGUUCCUCUGCCGCCGGCUGCGGCGGAUUCCCACCAACUCCAGCCGCUGCCGCUGGGGGAGGAGGGUUAUGAUCUCUUCGCUGCUCCUCCGCCACCGGCAUGGUGGGCUCCUCUGCCGCCGGAGGAGGGUCAUGAUGUCUUUGUCUUGGACCCGCUGGGAGCGUGGGUUCCUCUGCCGCCGGCUGCGGUGGAUGGCCACCAGCUCCCGCAGCCGCCGCUAGAGGAGGCAAGUUACGAUGUGCCACUGUGGAGGUGGGUUCCUCCCGAGACGGAGGAGGGGGGUGUUGUCAUGGAGGAGCAGUGGAUGCAGGAUGGCGACGACGGCGUGCCUUGGCCGCAGCUGUUCUUGUCCCCGCCGGACGACCAGUGGAUGCAGUUGGACGGCGGCCAGCCGUACGCGUGGUCGUGGUCUCAUGAAGAAGAGUUCUGA